AUGGGAUUUUUGCUCCUUGUAAUUUUCGUUGUAGCCGCUUUGGAAGGUGCCCGGUCCCAGGUGCAGCUGGUGGAGUCCGGAGGGGAUGUGAAAAAGCCCGGAGACUCUCUCCGCCUCUCCUGCAAAGCCUCCGGGUUCACCUUGAGCAGCUACAGUAUGAGCUGGGUCCGACAGGCUCCUGGCAAGGGACUAGAAUGGGUCGCUUUUAUAAGGUACGAUGGGAGUGAUAUAUAUUACCCUGAUUCAGUGAAAGGCCGAUUCACCAUCUCCAGGGAUAAUCCCAAGAGUGAGCUGUAUCUGCAACUGACCGGCCUGAAGCCCGAGGACACCGCCCGCUAUUACUGUCGCCGCCGGGAGGCCGGGAACUAUCCCAGCCCCUGGGUCAGAGCGGGGAGACUGAGGCACGGAGAGCUGGAGGCUUGA
Non-coding RNA from Mauremys mutica (yellowpond turtle), 423 nucleotides. The record is from the annotation of a RefSeq genome assembly. Lineage: Eukaryota; Metazoa; Chordata; Testudines; Geoemydidae.